This 515-nucleotide ribosomal RNA is filed under the name uncultured bacterium. RNAcentral describes it as "bacterial SSU rRNA". It matches the Rfam family "Bacterial small subunit ribosomal RNA", at positions 777 to 1297 of the family's 1533-position model. The record is from RNAcentral.
AAUAGAUACCCUGGUAGUCCACGCCGUAAACGAUGGAUACUAGCUGUUUGAGCGCAAGUUUGAGUGGCUAAGCGAAAGUGAUAAGUAUCCCACCUGGGGAGUACGGGCGCAAGCCUGAAACUCAAAGGAAUUGACGGGGGCCCGCACAAGCGGUGGAGCAUGUGGUUUAAUUCGAUGAUACGCGAGGAACCUUACCAGGGCUUAAAUGUAGAUUGACGUAUUUGGAAACAGAUAUUUCUUCGGACAAUUUACAAGGUGCUGCAUGGUUGUCGUCAGCUCGUGCCGUGAGGUGUCAGGUUAAGUCCUAUAACGAGCGCAACCCCUGUUGUUAGUUGCCAGCGAGUAAUGUCGGGAACUCGUAGCAAGACUGCCAGUGUAAACUGUGAGGAAGGUGGGGAUGACGUCAAAUCAUCACGGCCCUUACGUCCUGGGCCACACACGUGCUACAAUGGCCGGUACAGAGAGCAGCCACUUAGCGAUAAGGAGCGAAUCUAUAAAGCCGGUCACAGUUCGGA